RNAcentral lists this ribosomal RNA (118 nucleotides) under Diaphorina citri (Asian citrus psyllid). The record is from RNAcentral. Lineage: Eukaryota; Metazoa; Arthropoda; Insecta; Hemiptera; Psyllidae.
GCAAGCGGUGAUAGCACGUUCAAUGCACCAGUUCUCAAUGGAUCACUGAAGUUAAGCAACGUUACGCGUGGUUAGUAUACGUGUGGGUGACCAUCUGGGCAAUCACGUGCUGCUAGUU